RNAcentral lists this ribosomal RNA (468 nucleotides) under uncultured bacterium. RNAcentral describes it as "partial 16S ribosomal RNA". It matches the Rfam family "Bacterial small subunit ribosomal RNA", at positions 28 to 523 of the family's 1533-position model. The record is from RNAcentral.
GAUGAACGCUGGCGGCGUGCCUAACACAUGCAAGUCGAGCGAUUCUCUUCGGAGAAGAGCGGCGGACGGGUGAGUAACGCGUGGGUAACCUGCCCUGUACACACGGAUAACAUACCGAAAGGUAUGCUAAUACGGGAUAAUCUGCUUUAGUCGCAUGGCUGAAGUAUCAAAGCUCCGGCGGUACAGGAUGGACCCGCGUCUGAUUAGCUAGUUGGUAGGGUAACGGCUUACCAAGGCGACGAUCAGUAGCCGACCUGAGAGGGUGAUCGGCCACAUUGAAACUGAGACACGGUCCAAACUCCUACGGGAGGCAGCAGUGGGGAAUAUUGCACAAUGGGCGAAAGCCUGAUGCAGCAACGCCGCGUGAGCGAUGAAGGCCUUCGGGUCGUAAAGCUCUGUCCUCAAGGAAGAUAAUGACGGUACUUGAGGAGGAAGCCCCGGCUAACUACGUGCCAGCAGCCGCAGUAA